ACUCGCUUGGUGAAAGUGGUAAACACGGUGGACUUAAAAUUCACUCUCAUUUUAAGGGUUAUUGGUUCAAGUCCAAUAGCGAGUA
This 85-nucleotide transfer RNA is filed under the name Dasya binghamiae. RNAcentral's name for it is "tRNA-Leu". It matches the Rfam family "tRNA". From Rfam's summary of the family: Transfer RNA (tRNA) molecules are approximately 80 nucleotides in length. Their secondary structure includes four short double-helical elements and three loops (D, anti-codon, and T loops). Lineage: Eukaryota; Rhodophyta; Florideophyceae; Ceramiales; Dasyaceae. The record is from RNAcentral.